GACGAACGCUGGCGGCGUGCCUAAUACAUGCAAGUCGAGCGGACUUUCAAGAAGCUUGCUUUUUGAAAGUUAGCGGCGGACGGGUGAGUAACACGUGGGCAACCUGCCUGCAAGACGGGGAUAACUCCGGGAAACCGGGGCUAAUACCGGAUAAUAUCUUCCUUCGCAUGAAGGAAGGUUGAAAGGCGGCGCAAGCUGCCGCUUGCAGAUGGGCCCGCGGCGCAUUAGCUAGUUGGUGAGGUAACGGCUCACCAAGGCGACGAUGCGUAGCCGACCUGAGAGGGUGAUCGGCCACACUGGGACUGAGACACGGCCCAGACUCCUACGGGAGGCAGCAGUAGGGAAUCUUCCGCAAUGGACGAAAGUCUGACGGAGAAACGCCGCGUGAGCGAAGAAGGUCGUCGGAUCGUAAAGCUCUGUUGUCAGGGAAGAACAAGUACCGUUCGAACAGGGCGGUACCUUGACGGUACCUGACCAGAAAGCCACGGCUAACUACGUG
This 499-nucleotide ribosomal RNA is filed under the name uncultured bacterium. RNAcentral describes it as "partial 16S ribosomal RNA". It matches the Rfam family "Bacterial small subunit ribosomal RNA", at positions 28 to 507 of the family's 1533-position model. The record is from RNAcentral.